GAGAGUUUGAUCCUGGCUCAGGAUGAACGCUGGCGGCGUGCCUAAUACAUGCAAGUCGAGCGAAUGGAUUAAGAGCUUGCUCUUAUGAAGUUAGCGGCGGACGGGUGAGUAACACGUGGGUAACCUGCCCAUAAGACUGGGAUAACUCCGGGAAACCGGGGCUAAUACCGGAUAACAUUUUGAACCGCAUGGUUCGAAAUUGAAAGGCGGCUUCGGCUGUCACUUAUGGAUGGACCCGCGUCGCAUUAGCUAGUUGGUGAGGUAACGGCUCACCAAGGCAACGAUGCGUAGCCGACCUGAGAGGGUGAUCGGC
RNAcentral lists this ribosomal RNA (313 nucleotides) under Bacillus anthracis (anthrax bacterium). RNAcentral's name for it is "bacterial SSU rRNA". It matches the Rfam family "Bacterial small subunit ribosomal RNA", at positions 7 to 308 of the family's 1533-position model. The record is from RNAcentral. Lineage: Bacteria; Bacillati; Bacillota; Bacilli; Caryophanales; Bacillaceae.